Photinus pyralis (common eastern firefly) is the source of this 9401-nucleotide long non-coding RNA. RefSeq lists it as uncharacterized. Lineage: Eukaryota; Metazoa; Arthropoda; Insecta; Coleoptera; Lampyridae. The record is from RefSeq and is a predicted model, not a curated record. The transcript is spliced from 2 exons.
UGUAUUUGCUCAACUGUGCUUCUUCGCGCACUUGAAAAUUAUGUAAACUGCAUGCUGUAUUGGUAUUGUAUUGGUAGUUUUAAGCAUGUCUUUCUUUGAUGCCCAAUUCCGAAAAUUGAAGUUUGUUGGUUAUAAUCUAGAGCUAGAGGUUUGUGUGCUUGUUUGUAGCGAUUUAAGUUUGUAUGGGGGAUGCUUUAUUCAAUAACUAAAGCAGUAAAAAUAUACCAUAUUUAAUGCAAAUCAAACGUUUGUAUCUAACUGUCCUAAAAGAAUAUGACUCGCUUAACGUGAACAGUUUAUUAUUAUAUUGAAUACUAAUAUCUACUUAUUUGAAUAUGCCCUUUAUUUGAACGCAACACGCGUUAGUUGUAUUAUUUACGUGGCAAUUAUUAGUAACCGCAUAAAGCUUUUAUAUUUUGAAACAAACUAUUGUAACAUAAUUUAAAUUACCUACGUUAUUUGUUUAUGUACAAUUAAUUAUUAAUGAAUUUAUAACUGUCCUUCAAUAGAUUGAUUUAUAACAGGUGUUAUACCUAUACCCUCACUUAUAGAGCGCGAAUGUCAGUAUUAUCACUGCGGCAUCGAUGUUGGAACUUAACUUAAACACGAUUCAAUUUGCUUAAUAGCGAACGAAUUAUGUAUGUCCGCUUCCGUUUCGUAUCGCUGGUAACUUAUCUUGAUGGGCGCUAGGUGGCGACCCGAAGUCUGGAUAUCUAGAAUAUUCGCUACACUAUGCAUAUACACAGUAUGUUCUUACGCAUUGAGCAAAGCAAAUGCAAUUAGCAAUUAAAAACAUUCGUUUAUUAUUGUCUAGGAUUAGCAGCAGGUGCUUGAAAUCCCUAAAUAUUUGCUGGUUCUUGAUUGGGCUUACUCACACCUCAUGCAACAAGCUAAGUUCGAUGCGGUUAAUUCUCUCACAUACAUUCAGUUUGUAUUGUGCAAUGUUACAUGUAAUGCAAAAAUGGUCGAUUAACAUGUUCCGUCGGUUGGUAUCUAUUUGCAGAUGCAUACUAAUAUAAUCACUUUGGUAUUCGCUUGCCCAAUUUGCGAUUUUAUACGCUUGAUCCGUAAUUGCGUCUAUCUUCUUCACCAGUCUACGGUGGAUUUCUAAUUUUUAGCAUGCUGCUUGCGGCCGUCAUUGCAAGAGUUUCGUCUAGAUCGCCAAAGCCUUCGCUUAAAGACACUUAAUCUAAGACAAAAAAUAAUUAUAUAUAUACGGGGUGCUUGAAAUAUAAGUAAUUAAAUCAACGUCAAAUGAACUAGAAAAAGUUCUCAAUAAGAAGUAAUAAUUGUCAAGAAUCGUUGAAACAAACAAAUAUGAACAAUUGAUAUACCUAGUACAAAAAAUACUGAAUUCUUUUUCGCCUGGGGUGGCGGGUGAUGAAAAAUUUUCCGUGAAUAUAGCCAGACGUGAUCCAACUCGUGCGCCACCAGCUUUUUAUGAUUAUGAUGAAUGAUGCCCUCUCGCAGGAAAGGAGACUUAUCUUGAGCUUGGACGCGGUUCUUCGUGGGAGAACAUGCUGCUGGAGAUGGAAACUUUGUUUUUCAGCUCCCAAAAUACCUACUCAUUUGUCACAGCUCCCACUAACUGAUGCGCGAUGUUACUACCAUUAUCUGUGCAUGAAAUUUCUAUGUUCCAAGGUAGCAAUAACUGCACUGAUCACUGUGUAUAAGGUUGCUAUUACCUACACUUAUUAAUUAGACUGCUUGUUCUACAAACUGACUUGAUGUGGGCUUAUGGUUCAAACUGUUUGCUUGCUUAGUAACUGUAAGACCUAUACGACUAUUAUUUGUACUUUUUACCAUAUUGAAUAUUCACCGAAUAACCACUAAAUAAGAAAUAGCAUGGGUCCGUUACCCUGAAAAGUAUAGCUUCUCUUUCUUCGAGCACUAGUAAAUACCUACAGUGGUAAAUUAUAAAACAAAUGCAAUUAAAACUACUUACAUGGUGUGAAAUUGAUUUAAUUAAGUAAUGUAUUGCUUGCUUAGUUGUGUGAUAAUUGCAAUGUGUACCUAGGUAUUAAAAUAGGUUUGGUAACACCAUUAUGUUCUGCUGCUUUCACAUUCGCUUGACAGGUUUGGUAUCAAGUUCUGUAUGGAAUUGUAAAAUGUUAAUUUUCUUAUAUUUAAUGAAUGUGGAAUGUGGUGCUUUUGAACUUACAAUGGAUUGUAUCAUGUAUCUCUUACUUGUUCGCUUCAGUGAAUAUCGAUCAUAUUUCUUGUCUUGAUACUUUUGAAAAAUUGCUUAUAAUAAAUUUACCUAGUGUACAUAAAUUUGGCUACAAUUUUAUGUUUUGGAAACGUAUUUCAAAAUUGAUGAAAGGGAGGUGGGAGGGACAAAAUUCAAAAUUUAGAAAGUGUACUAUCUCGCAACUACUGAAAAACAUUACGAACAUUAAGUCUCAAAAGUAGGCAUUAAUUUAUUCAACAUACAUCUACUAAAGGCAAACUAACCCUAAAGAUUAUCAUGAAUUUCGAAAUAGAAACUGGACGUCUUUUGUGCUAUAUCCGCACGCAUGACUACGUAGAUCUUAAUUUUCUUGUUUUUAAAAACUACUAACAGGUAAUGUUUUGUGUUGCAUUAAAUAGAGACGGCUGUACAUGUCUGGUAGUCUUGAUAUGCUUAGUAAUAAUAUAGUUACCUACUUGUUCUACUUUGCACUUUCUCAACUCGUGCUGAUAGUCAUCAUUUUUGCACUACCUCCUAGUCAUCUUCUGGUUGACAGAUUUCAUAAUAUGUUUACAUAAAAACUUGUCGUGAAUUUAAUUAUAUCGUGAUUUAAUAUGUACAAAGAGGUCACCAAGAAGAGGGCAUCCGAAUGUGACCCUGUUAAAUUAAAACACUCGUGCACUGGACGUCCCUUAACAUAGGAAAAAACCUGGCUAACUCAAAGUUAAAGUUUCCCAAAAAUAUGCAAUAAAUCGAAAUCUUGUUGACUAAUUGAAAACGGAGCUUUUCUUUAAAAUUUAAACUACUUAAAUUAAUAGAUACAAAAUGAGUUAUUGAACAGUAGGUAAAUUGAAAUCAUUACGAUUGAAAAACCAGAGUAACGAAAUUUUUACAAUACCUCUAUUCGUCUUCUAUUGACGUUGCUUCGAUCCUCAUAGAAAUUGUCUUGAUUCAAGAUUUCCCUACGUCGCCGUCGAAGGUCGUAUUCGUGGUAUAUGAAGUUGACAGGAAUCAACAAUGGUCCGAAAUAUGUAAAUAGAGUUGUCUUGCGUUCUGACCAGAUUUCCUUAGCGGAUUUAUACGGUUUCCUGAUGUGAAGGUGUGUCUUUGUUGUUAAUGGAUUAAUUAGUGCCGCUUAGAUUACGUAAUGCACGCGUAAAAUAUUUUAUUUCGUGCGAGUAUAGCUUUUCUAUGUUUAGUUAGCGUAAUUGUAAAGGAAAUUAAUUUUGUGUUGCUCAAAACUGCAAGAGAAAACCACUCACAUGAAGCUAGUACGAGGUUACGAAUUACAAAAUGCGAAUUAGAAAAUCUGCUACUGUAAUGAACGUAGUUUUCUUUGACGCCUGAAUUUUAUUUAGGAACCCCGUCUUUCAUCUAGUCACAAAAAAUGUAUAGUACCGGUUGAAAUUCUAAUUUUGAUUAAUACACACACAACACCCCUAAGCGUCUUUGAGGUUGGAGCUAUCCGCUUGAGAUUAAUUUUCUUAAAAUGUUCUCUUCACUUAAUCUGCCGCAAUGAUUUCACUAACAUUUACUUUCUUUAAAAAGUUUAGUUCGAUCCUUUCGCAAUUAAAAUUUCCGCAAAAGUCCUUACUGUAAGGAGAGUGAUGCUCGAACUACCUGCUUAAGCUGUAGCUGCUAAUCUAAAACGGAACCACCGCAAUUUUCGCGACCAGCGUCCCCUUUUCACCAAUCGCAAGCCCAAUUCUUAUCCAAUCUGUGGCCGCAGCGCUACAUAAAAGGGAAUCAACUAAACUGGAUGGUUCAUGCUAUCUCUGCUCAAAACUCACGCAUUCGAAACGCGCUUCGUUGUCUCGUCGUUAAACCUACUCGCGCUCACUCUUCAUAUGAAGCGGUACACAUGACCCUUUACACAUAUACAAUAUCACCCAAAACUUUUUCUUAACACGAAACUGACAAGGACAAUAUUCUACCCUUUACAUCUUACAUGAAUCUAUUUCACAAAGCUAUUUAGGUACCCUAAGACAUUUAAUAUCUAAAUCUAACUUGGGAAAAAAUUCCCCUAACUCGCAUUAACUCACUAAAUCAGUUUAAAUUCGCGCCUACACCGGACUGUGCCUUAUUUUAAUAUUACUGAUUCUGCAUCAAGAAGCUGUACCUAGGGAUUUUAGGAUGUUACACUCAUUAGCUUGAAGCGAUGCUGUUUGAAGGACAAAUAAAAGUUGUUAAUUCUACCACAGGAAUAAUUGGGAUCAAAUAAAAACUACAUGACAAAUAAUGUUUCGCGUAGGUACAGAAGGUGAAUUCAUAAGCAGAGAAUAUUUUUUUAUUUAUCUAUGCAAUUAGUGUGUUUUGCUUGAUUAUUAUUAGCGUGUAUAGGAUAACCAUUUUGAAAACAAUAGAUUGGCUGCUUCUUUGACCUAGUGAGUCGGCUUAUGUAUGACGUUGUAAUAAUGCCCUAUAGUGAUUUUGAUUAUAUGUGUAUACUUUGCUUAAGCUAUCUACUUUUGACUACAAUUUCGUUUUGGAAACUUAUUUCAAAAUUGAUGAAAGGGAGGCGGGAGGGACAAAAUUCAAAAUUUAAAAUUGUUGUCCAUAUUUAUGGAAAAUAUACUUUUUAAGUAUAAACUUCGUUAACAAACCAUAGUGAUGCUGUACAGUCGUUACUGUGAAAGCUUAAAGUUAGAAAAAAUGGACAAUCUGAGCAUCACUUUUCAAAAAUAGAAAAAAAGCAUAUUUUUUAAGAAAAGGCGAGUGUUUUGUUUUUUAAAACGUACAAUUGUAAUUCACAAGACCCCUGGAUCUUUAUUUUCUUGUUUUAGGUAGAUUUCUAUCUACCUAUUGCAAUAGUACCAGUAUAUUUAUAUGUUUAUUAUAGGUUUAUAUAUAUCACUCCCAAGAAACACUUUUGAGUUUCGUAAUUAUGAACCAAUUUCGACCAACCUCUAAAGGUUGAUAUGUAACUCAUAAAUAUCUCGGCCAAGUUCGUGAAUCAGCCAAUUCCGCCAUUUUGUUCCAAUGUGACCUUUGUAUCUUAAUGCGGUUAAAGAAAUCUACGUAGGAUUUUUAAAUAGUAGUAACAUACCUAAUGUAGGGUUCAAAGAAUAGGCUUUAUGACAUUAAUUUUUAAUUAAUUAAUUAUUUAAUUAAAGGUUGUAAGUAGUAUUAUUUUGUAUGAACCACAUAGUGCACUAUUUGUGCUAUUUCCAAUGUUACUGAAAUAACCUUUGCUUUAGUAGUAAAGAAUAUUGAGUCACACAUUGAUAAUUUUUUAGAUUUUUAUGUCCGUAAAACCCUUUAUCGAUAUGCUUCGCAAGGUCCCCUUUGCAUAUAGGUACUAUCGAGGUUAGUUCUAAGUAAUAUGUCUGAUCACCCAAUGAUAUGUCCCAAACAAAGUAGGUAUAUACUUACUUGUUUCAUGCGGGUAUUGGGUCAUCGGUGAUGGUAAUAUAAAUUAAAACGAUGUAAUUCCCAAAAUGGACCUCUGUGGUACAUCGCAUGGUGAACUGAAAUAAUUCUUCAUUUUCUGUACUUAAAUAACUUUGUAUUGAUUUGAAUAAAAAUGACAUCCAGUGUGAUAAAUGAUAUACCUUUAAACAAAUUUACCUACUUUGCAUUAGAAAUGAUUGUUCAUUAUUAUUAUUCUUGGAAAGCCCUCGCUCUACUGGCUGUGGUUUGAGACCAAAUCCUUUUAAACGCAUAGGGUUAUGUAUGCAUAUUAACCCACCCCAGGUUCGAAGAUAUUAUGACAGAUUUUAAGGCAAAGUGGAAACGUUGAAAUCCCAUCAUUAAAACACAGAUCCCGCUUAAAUUUGAAACAAAAGAAUGACACGUGAUCGGAUAGUCUAUGGUAGGGCUUAAAGCUUAAAAAAAUAGCUUUCUUUCCAUGGCGAUUGAAAAGAUAUUUUACAAUUGUAUAAAAUAUAAACUUCAUGGCAAAUAAUACCUGUAAUGCAGAAGCUAAACUCAUAAGUGGCGAUACUUAUUUUUUAGUUCAUGUAGGCAGUGUGCUUUUUGAUUGUCUAUUAUUUGUGAAAAUUGUUAUAUAUACCUAACAGUUUGCAAAUAAUAUUAACCAUUUAUGAUACUCAUUUUGACAUGUCGUUCAUUGGUUUGGCAAAUUUCUAAUUAUGCAUUGAUAUUAGAAUAGAAUUCUUUCGAUAUGCCUUGGAUACUUUUUGUAUGGAGAUGCUGUACUCGGCACGUAAGAAGGCGAAAGAUCACCCGCUGUGGUCUUCUUACGUGCCGGUACUAGUACCCUUCAAAAACUGCACUUUCAUAUAUUAUAGUGAUCUACUUUUGGCUGCAAUUUUAUGUUUUGGAGAUUUAUUUCAAAAUUGAUGAAAGGGAGGUGGGAGGGACAAAAUUCAAAAUUUAAAGAUUUUCUGUACAUUCAUCCAUACGAAAUAUACUAAACUCGUCGAGUACAAAUUCUAAUAAUCAGACAGCCACGAAAACAAAGUUGAUUCGUGUUGGGUGUCAUAAAUGUAAAAAAUAAAAUUUGUUCAACACCAAACAAAUAAAAAUGGCACCAAUCAUAAAUCAUGCCCCAUUUUUGAACAAAAAGCUGUUGUCAUCAUUCGUAUGACCGUCAGUAAUUAGUAGGCCGUUAAAAAUUAUAAACACCAAUUCAAAUUAUAAAAUAUUCACCCCAAACUCUUGCUUUACUCGCGCUUACUCUUCCUAUAAAGCGGUACAUAUGCAAUUUUACGUAUAUCUAAAAUUCGAAAAAAUGCGGGCUCCCCUUACAGUAUACUCUUUUCGUGAGGUCACCUGGCAAGUACGGUAUUACUUUAAUUUUGCUUGCUAUAAAUAUCAUUGUUCGUCAUUCGUCAAAGCUACACUAGAUUCCAUUUGUCUUGAUGUAUUUUCCUUUUACCAAUCCCAGCAACUAUACAAAUACGAAAACGUUUUAUUUCCGUAUUUUACCCAACGCUUAUAAUAUGUUAUCAGUAGCAUUGUUUAAUACAUUACAUUUAGUUUGCGAAUGGUUACAAGAGGUUUGUUUCUUGAGACUUUUCAGUUUAGAUGCUAAAGUUGCCAUCAGAAUGUGUGUUUACGUAACAGCGGAGAGUGUACUGGAGCCCCCACGGAUGAUUUUAAAAUAAUUUAUACAAAAUGCGCGUUUUCAGGCUAUAAAUGAAAAAUUAAGCGGUUCCAGUCAAGAGUCGUUAUACUUACCUCUUAAAUUUAAAAUGCACCACUUCCAAUGGUUUUUAUGCGCAAUAAUAAUUAAGACCAAAACAGAUAAAAUGCCUUGAAAUUUUGCACGACAUCAAGUCGAUUAUUAAUUUUAAUUGUAGGUUAAAGUGUGAUAUGAUCACUGACCUGAAUAAAAAAAGAGGCCAUUCUGGAUAUGAUAGAUUAUUUUAAAAUAGUGCAACACUAGCAUUUAUGAAAGAAGAACUGACAGAAGGCAAAAUAAUUAAUUUAUUAAAAUAAAAUUAAAAUCGUAAGUGUGCCCAGUAAAUUGUAAAAAAUUCAAGUUUGUAUAGGUUACUUUGGAAUAUACUUUGAUAAAUAAAUAAAUUGAUGAAAGGGAGGUGGGAGGGACAAAAUUCAAAAUUUUUUAUUAAUUAAAUUACGUUCAUUUUAAAUUUUAUCUAAGUAAUUCGGUCAAAAGAAAUAAGCGCUAGAAAUGUGCUAGAAAUAAUGUCAAUAUGAAUGGUCAAUGAGUCACAAUAAUAUAAGGAACUGAUUGUUUGAAUCUAAAACAUGUAGAAUGUUCGCUUGUAAUAAUUGCAAGUGGUUCUUCAUUAUUAAUAAUUAUUAAAGCAAUGUAUCGAAUUAUCUGUUUAACGAUUUUUUUUCUGUCUAGUCUCCUUUCUGAUGAAAUGCUCACUGAACCACCAGGAGAACCGAUGGAAAAACCGUGGAUCGAGUUGCUAACAUCCGGAUUUGAAAUCUGCGACGCACGACCCUUAGAUCUCUACAUUGUCUACACCUGAAAUCAGGAGUCCACGGCCCUGCGUCAUUGAUUUUACACAAGUUUUUUUAAUCAAUUUCGCACUCUUUAUAGAUAGAUGUGACAGUGCUUUAACGUGUAGGUCUGCGUAUGUUUAAAAUUGAUUCACAAAUCAAUGACGCAGCGCCACAGACUCCUGAUUUCAAGAGUACAUCAUCAAACUGCUCGAUUUCCUUGCCUCUUUCCAACUGAAUUGUCAGAUCUAGUAACAGGGCCGUUUUCUUCUCCCUACCGAUCAGCAAGAUAUCGAGGCGUUGGUUUGAGCCGUAUUCCGAGUAGUACGGAAUUCCUUGGUGCACUACAAAAUCUUGGUCGCGGAAUGCAUUGAUGUACGGUCAUUGACAAAAGUAAUGAUCGCCUAAUAGGUAAACUCUGCAGCAUGAACAACCACAUGCCCAUCACAUCGGGUUCCACCGGCUUCUUUAAGGAGAAGAUGCCUUCAUUUGUUGGUUGCACAAUAUAUUCAAAUGUUGGCUGCGUAUGCUGCACGAUUUACCUAUUCGACGAUCAUUACUUUUGUCAAUGACUGUAACAUGUGUUGCGUUUAUUAAAUAUGUGUUUCAUGUUUCAAAGGUUUGACAUUAUAGUCCGAGAGCUGGUAGACAUUUAAGGGUACGUAUUUGAGGCACGCUGAAAACUUGUCCAACACUUCUCCAAGAAUCCCCAAACACAGAAAUGCAGACCUGGUUGAGGAGUGGCGGGGCUAACACUUUGCAAGUGCCCUUCGAAGUUGGAAAAAAAUAAUGUUAUUGAUUUGUGAAUCAAUUUCAGACAUAUUUAGACAUACGCUAAAACCCUGCAACAACUAUCAAGUAGGUAUGCGAAAUCGAUAAAAAACUUGUCUGAAAUUGAUUGACAAAUCAAUGACGCAGGGCCAAGGGAUUCCUGAUUUGAAGUGUAUACUGGCCGCAAUAAAUACAUGAACACCUAGUGUAGGUACUUCGAUCACUUUUGACGAUAGUUUCAGGAGAAUUGUCUUUAUUUCGGUAUAAGAAGAUCAUCCCUACGCAUUCAGAUACUCGACUGGGCAUAGGUACAUUCUUUUUUCAAACUUUGAAGGCGCCUGGCAAGGUGUUAGCCCCGCUUCUCCUCAGCCAGGUCUGCAUUUCUGUGUUUGGGUAUUAUUGGAGAAGUCAAGAAGUGGUGGACAAGUUUUCAGCGUGCCUCAAAUACUUACCCAAAAAUGUUUACCAGCCCUCCUACUAUUAUUACCUACAUAAUAUUUGAUACAAUACAUAAUUGUCUAUAUCGUAAUCGUUUCUAUGACGUUUAUUUCAUGAAUAAAUGACAAAAACAUUUUACCUA